This 72-nucleotide transfer RNA is filed under the name Deltaproteobacteria bacterium. Its description in RNAcentral is "tRNA-Arg". It matches the Rfam family "tRNA". Rfam says of the family: Transfer RNA (tRNA) molecules are approximately 80 nucleotides in length. The record is from RNAcentral. Lineage: Bacteria; Pseudomonadati; Myxococcota; Myxococcia.
GGGGCAUUGGCUCAGCGGAAGAGCACUCGGUUCCGAACCGAGAGGUCGGAGGUUCGAUCCCUCCAUGCCCCA